Molecule: ribosomal RNA, 254 nt
Filed under: uncultured bacterium
Lineage: Bacteria
Description: partial 16S ribosomal RNA
Rfam family: Bacterial small subunit ribosomal RNA
Source: RNAcentral
UACAGAGGUCCCAAGCGUUGUUCGGAUUCACUGGGCGUAAAGGGUGCGUAGGCGGUCGGGUAAGUCUGAUGUGAAAUCUCACAGCUUAACUGUGAAACUGCAUUGGAUACUAUUCGGCUUGAGAGUUGGAGGGGGGACUGGAAUUCUUGGUGUAGCAGUGAAAUGCGUAGAUAUCAAGAGGAACACCCGUGGCGAAGGCGGCACUCUGGGACGGUACUGACGCUGAGACGCGAAAAGCGUGGGGAGCGAACAGG